CUUACACGUCUCUGGAGCUCA
RNAcentral lists this non-coding RNA (21 nucleotides) under Rattus norvegicus (Norway rat). Lineage: Eukaryota; Metazoa; Chordata; Mammalia; Rodentia; Muridae. The record is from RNAcentral.